This 917-nucleotide ribosomal RNA is filed under the name Periconia byssoides. Its description in RNAcentral is "partial large subunit ribosomal RNA". It matches the Rfam family "Eukaryotic large subunit ribosomal RNA", at positions 34 to 971 of the family's 3401-position model. The record is from RNAcentral. Lineage: Eukaryota; Fungi; Ascomycota; Dothideomycetes; Pleosporales; Periconiaceae.
CUAGCAUAUCAAUAAGCGGAGGAAAAGAAACCAACAGGGAUUGCCCUAGUAACGGCGAGUGAAGCGGCAACAGCUCAAAUUUGAAAUCUGGCUCUUUCAGGGUCCGAGUUGUAAUUUGCAGAGGGUGCUUUGGUGUUGGCGGCGGUCUAAGUUCCUUGGAACAGGACAUCGCAGAGGGUGAGAAUCCCGUAUGUGGUCGCCUGCCUUCGCCGUGUAAAGCCCCUUCGACGAGUCGAGUUGUUUGGGAAUGCAGCUCUAAAUGGGAGGUAAAUUUCUUCUAAAGCUAAAUACCGGCCAGAGACCGAUAGCGCACAAGUAGAGUGAUCGAAAGAUGAAAAGCACUUUGGAAAGAGAGUCAAACAGCACGUGAAAUUGUUAAAAGGGAAGCGCUUGCAGCCAGACUUGCCUGUAGUUGCUCGCCCGGGCUUUUGCCCGGGUUACUCUUCUGCAGGCAGGCCAGCAUCAGUUUGGGCGGUCGGAUAAAGGUCCCUGACACGUAUCUCCCUUCGGGGUUAACAUAUAGGGGGGACGUAAUGCGACCAGCCUGGACUGAGGUCCGCGCAUCUGCUAGGAUGCUGGCGUAAUGGCUGUAAGCGGCCCGUCUUGAAACACGGACCAAGGAGUCUAACAUCUAUGCGAGUGUUUGGGUGUCAAGCCCGAGCGCGUAAUGAAAGUGAACGGAGGUGGGAACCCCUCGGGGCGCACCAUCGACCGAUCCUGAUGUCUUCGGAUGGAUUUGAGUAAGAGCAUAGCUGUUGGGACCCGAAAGAUGGUGAACUAUGCUUGAAUAGGGUGAAGCCAGAGGAAACUCUGGUGGAGGCUCGCAGCGGUUCUGACGUGCAAAUCGAUCGUCAAAUUUGGGCAUAGGGGCGAAAGACUAAUCGAACUAUCUAGUAGCUGGUUCCUGCCGAGCUCCU